Molecule: transfer RNA, 73 nt
Filed under: Camelus bactrianus (Bactrian camel)
Lineage: Eukaryota; Metazoa; Chordata; Mammalia; Artiodactyla; Camelidae
Also listed under: 2 other names
Rfam family: tRNA
About the family: Transfer RNA (tRNA) molecules are approximately 80 nucleotides in length. Their secondary structure includes four short double-helical elements and three loops (D, anti-codon, and T loops).
Source: Rfam by way of RNAcentral
GAGGGUAUAGCUCAAGUGGUAGAGUGCAUGCCUCGCAUGCAUGAGGUCCUGGGCUCAAUCCCCAGUACUUCCU